Molecule: ribosomal RNA, 411 nt
Filed under: Sedecula pulvinata
Lineage: Eukaryota; Fungi; Basidiomycota; Agaricomycetes; Agaricales
Description: bacterial LSU rRNA
Rfam family: Bacterial large subunit ribosomal RNA
Source: RNAcentral
CUCGGCAAAUUAUCCUCAUAAGUUCGACAAGAAGAGGGGCUAUUAGUAUUUAGAAUAAAUAUAAGACUUCUUCCUUAUUCUUUAUAUUAGUAGUGGCACAAAAAUGGGAGCCCCGACUGUUUACUAAAAACACAGCUAUCUGCAAAGACGUAAGUCAUAGUAUAGGUAGUGAGGUUUGCUCAAUGUCCGUAGCAUAAAAUUAGUAAUUGGCAACAGUUACGACUUGAAAGCCGGAUGAAUAGCGGUCUUAACUAUGAGGAUCCUAAGGUAGCAAAAUCAAUUGGCCGUUAAAUGCGGUCCGGAAUCAAUAAUUUAACGAUGGCUCUGCUGUCUCUACAACUUGCUCAGUGAAAUUGAAUUGCACGUGCAGAUGCGUGCGCAACCAUCAGUGGGACGGGAAGACCCUAUGCA